GUGUCAGCAGCCGCGGUAAGACGAACCGUGCGAACGUUGUUCGGAUUCACUGGGCUUAAAGGGCGCGUAGGCGGAUUCGCAAGUCCGGGGUGAAAUCUUUCGGCUCAACCGGAAAAGUGCCUUGGAUACUGCGAGUCUCGAGGGAGGUAGGGGCCGCGGGAACUUCCGGUGGAGCGGUGAAAUGCGUUGAUAUCGGAAGGAACGCCGGUGGCGAAAGCGCGCGGCUGGAUCUCCUCUGACGCUGAGGCGCGAAAGCUAGGGGAGCAAACGGGAUUAGAUACCCCGGUAGUCCUAGCCCUAAACGAUGGGCACUAGAUAGUGGACUUUCAUGGGUUCACUGUCGAAGCAAAAGUGCUAAGUGCCCCGCCUGGGGAGUAUGGUCGCAAGGCUGAA
Molecule: ribosomal RNA, 393 nt
Filed under: uncultured bacterium
Lineage: Bacteria
Description: bacterial SSU rRNA
Rfam family: Bacterial small subunit ribosomal RNA
Source: RNAcentral